RNAcentral lists this ribosomal RNA (439 nucleotides) under uncultured bacterium. RNAcentral's name for it is "bacterial SSU rRNA". It matches the Rfam family "Bacterial small subunit ribosomal RNA", at positions 958 to 1398 of the family's 1533-position model. The record is from RNAcentral.
AACGCGAAGAACCUUACCUGGACUUGACAUCUACGGAACCUCCUGGAAACAGAGACUUCCCGCAAGGGACUUGAGUCGAGGUGCUGCAUGGCUGUCGUCAGCUCGUGUCGUGAGAUGUUGGGUUAAGUCCCGCAACGAGCGCAACCCUUGUCCUGUGUUGCCACUCCGUAAGGAAGCACUCGCAGGAGACCGCCAGCGAUAAGUUGGAGGAAGGUGGGGAUGAUGUCAAGUCAUCAUGGCCUUUAUGUCCAGGGCUACACACGUGCUACAAUGGACGGUACAAAGCGCUGCAAACCCGCGAGGGGGAGCUAAUCGCAAAAAACCGUUCUCAGUUCGGAUCGCAGGCUGCAACUCGCCUGCGUGAAGCUGGAAUCGCUAGUAAUGCCGUAUCAGAACGAUGGCGUGAAUACGUUCCCGGGCCUUGUACACACCGGUACUA